AUUGAACGCUGGCGGCAGGCCUAACACAUGCACGUCGAGCGGAGCGGCGGACGGGUGAGUAAUGCCUAGUAAUCUGCCUGGUAGUGGGGGAUAACGUACGGAAACGGGAGCUAAUACCGCAUACUAUCAGAUGAGCCUAGGUCGGAUUAGCUAGAUGGUGGGGUAAGGGCCUACAAAGGCGACGAUCCGUAACUUGUGUGAGAUGAUGAUCAGUAACACUGGAACUGAUACACGGUCCAGAAUCCUACGGACGGCAGCAGUGGGGAAUUUUGUACAAUGGGCGAAAGCCUGAUUCAGCCAUGCCGCGUGUGUGAAGAAGGUCUUCGGAUUGAAAAGCACUUUAAGUUGGGAGGCGUUACCAACAGAAUAAGCACCGGCUAACUCCGUGCAAGCAGCCGCGGUAAUAC
Molecule: ribosomal RNA, 407 nt
Filed under: uncultured bacterium
Lineage: Bacteria
Description: partial 16S ribosomal RNA
Rfam family: Bacterial small subunit ribosomal RNA
Source: RNAcentral